AACGAACGCUGGCGGCAGGCCUAACACAUGCAAGUCGAGCGAGCCCUUCGGGGUGAGCGGCGGACGGGUGAGUAACGCGUGGGAACGUGCCCUUCUCUGCGGAUUAGCUUCGGGAAACUGAGAGUAAUAACGCAUACGCCCCUUGGGGGAAAGGGUUAUCGGUGAAGGAUCGGCCCGCGUUGGAUUAGGUAGUUGGUGGGGUAAUGGCCCACCAAGCCGACGAUCCAUAGCUGGUUUGAGAGGAUGAUCAGCCACACUGGGACUGGGACACGGCCCAGACUCCUACGGGAGGCAGCAGUGGGGAAUCUUAGACAAUGGGGGCAACCCUGAUCUAGCCAUGCCGCGUGAGUGAUGAAGGCCUUAGGGUUGUAAAGCUCUUUCAGCUGGGAAGAUAAUGACGGUACCAGCAGAAGAAGCCCCGGCUAACUCCGUG
This 433-nucleotide ribosomal RNA is filed under the name uncultured bacterium. Its description in RNAcentral is "partial 16S ribosomal RNA". It matches the Rfam family "Bacterial small subunit ribosomal RNA", at positions 29 to 507 of the family's 1533-position model. The record is from RNAcentral.